RNAcentral lists this unclassified non-coding RNA (90 nucleotides) under Pseudomonas lini. Lineage: Bacteria; Pseudomonadati; Pseudomonadota; Gammaproteobacteria; Pseudomonadales; Pseudomonadaceae. The record is from RNAcentral.
UGUGGGAGCGGGCUUGCCCGCGAAAGCAUUGUGUCAGGCAAUAUUGAUAUCGACUGACAUGGCCUCAUCGCGGGCAAGCCCGCUCCCACA